RNAcentral lists this microRNA precursor (104 nucleotides) under Marmota monax (woodchuck). The record is from RNAcentral. Lineage: Eukaryota; Metazoa; Chordata; Mammalia; Rodentia; Sciuridae.
UCAUGAAUUACCUGGGGAUCUUGUUAAGUUAGAAAUUCUGAUUGAGCUGUUCUGGGUGGAGUCUGAGGUUCUGUAUUUUGAACAAGCUCCCAGGUGAUGCUACU